Small nuclear RNA from Erigeron canadensis, 160 nucleotides. RefSeq annotates it as U1 spliceosomal RNA. NCBI's taxonomy places the organism in Eukaryota, Viridiplantae, Streptophyta, Magnoliopsida, Asterales, Asteraceae. The record is from RefSeq and is a predicted model, not a curated record. The transcript has a single exon.
UCACUUACCUGGACGGGGUCUAUGGAUGAUCAUCAAGGUCCAUGGCCUAGGUUGGUGACCUCCAUUGCACUUUGUGAAGGGGCACUUGCCUAAGGUUGGCUCAAAUGGUCAAGCUUACGUCAUAAUUUGUUGUUGGGGCAUGCGUUCGCGCAGCCCCUCU